UGCCCAGGGGACGUGGAUAACCUCGGGAAACUGAGGAUAAACCGCGAUAAGUCACUACUUCUGGAAUGGGUAAUGACUUAAAUCUAUAUGGCCCCUGGAUUGGACUGCGGCCGAUCAGGCUGUUGGUGAGGUAAUGGCCCACCAAACCUGUAACCGGUACGGGCUCUGAGAGGAGGAGCCCGGAGAUGGGCACUGAGACAAGGGCCCAGGCCCUAUGGGGCGCAGCAGGCGCGAAACCUCUGCAAUAGGCGAAAGCCUGACAGGGUUACUCUGAGUGAUUUCCGUUAAGGAGAUCUUUUGGCACCUCUAAAAAUGGUGCAGAAUAAGGGGUGGGCAAGUCUGGUGUCAGCCGCCGCGGUAAUACCAGCACCCCGAGUGGUCGGGACGUUUAUAGGGCCUAAAGCAUCCGUAGCCGGUUCUGCAAGUCUUCCGUUAAAUCCACCUGCUUAACAGAUGGGCCGCGGAAGAUACUAUAGAGCUAGGAGGCGGGAGAGGCAAGCGGUACUCGAUGGGUAGGGGUAAAAUCCGUUGAUCCAUUGAAGACCACCAGUGGCGAAGGCGGCUUGCCAGAACGCGCUCGACGGUGAGGGAUGAAAGCUGGGGGAGCAAACCGGAUUAGAUACCCGGGUAGUCCCAGCUGUAAACGAUGCAGACUCGGUGAUGAAUUGGCUUUAUGCCUAUUCAGUGCCGCAGGGAAGCCGUUAAGUUUGCCGCCUGGGGAGUACGGUCGCAAGACUGAAACUUAAAGGAAUUGGCGGGGGAGCACCACAAGGGGUGAAGCCUGCGGUUCAAUUGGAGUCAACGCCGGAAAUCUUACCGGGGGCGACAGCAGAAUGAAGGUCAAGCUGAAGACUUUACCAGACAAGCUGAGAGGAGGUGCAUGGCCGUCGCCAGCUCGUGCCGUGAGGUGUCCUGUUAAGUCAGGUAACGAGCGAGACCCCUGCCUCUAGUUGCUACCAUUAUUCUCAGGAGUAGUGGAGCUAAUUAGAGGGACUGCCGUCGCUGAGACGGAGGAAGGAGGGGGCUACGGCAGGUCAGUAUGCCCCGAAACCCUCGGGCCACACGCGGGCUGCAAUGGUAAGGACAAUGAGUAUCGAUUCCGAAAGGAGGAGGCAAUCUCUAAACCUUACCACAGUUAUGAUUGAGGGCUGAAACUCGCCCUCAUGAAUAUGGAAUCCCUAGUAACCGCGUGUCACUAUCGUGCGGUGAAUACGUCCCUGCUCCUUGCACACACCGCCCGUCGCUUCAUCGAAGUUGGUUCUUGGCGAGGUGAUGCCUAAUUGGUACUAUCGAACCUGGGGUCAGCAACGAGGGAG
This 1316-nucleotide ribosomal RNA is filed under the name uncultured crenarchaeote. RNAcentral's name for it is "bacterial SSU rRNA". It matches the Rfam family "Archaeal small subunit ribosomal RNA", at positions 110 to 1429 of the family's 1478-position model. Lineage: Archaea; Thermoproteati; Thermoproteota. The record is from RNAcentral.